Molecule: ribosomal RNA, 510 nt
Filed under: uncultured bacterium
Lineage: Bacteria
Description: partial 16S ribosomal RNA
Rfam family: Bacterial small subunit ribosomal RNA
Source: RNAcentral
GACGAACGCUGGCGGCGUGCUUAACACAUGCAAGUCGAACGAAGAGCGACGGAAGCUUGCUUCUAUCAAUCUUAGUGGCGAACGGGUGAGAAACGCGUAAUCAACCUGCCCUUCAGAGGGGGACAACAGUUGGAAACGACUGCUAAUACCGCAUACGAUCUAAUCUCGGCAUCGAGGAUGGAUGAAAGGUGGCCUCUACAUGUAAGCUAUCACUGAAGGAGGGGAUUGCGUCUGAUUAGCUAGUUGGAGGGGUAACGGCCCACCAAGGCGAUGAUCAGUAGCCGGUCUGAGAGGAUGAACGGCCACAUUGGGACUGAGACACGGCCCAGACUCCUACGGGAGGCAGCAGUGGGGAAUCUUCCGCAAUGGACGAAAGUCUGACGGAGCAACGCCGCGUGAGUGAUGACGGCCUUCGGGUUGUAAAGCUCUGUUAAUCGGGACGAAAGGCCUUCUUGCGAAUAGUGAGGAGGAUUGACGGUACCGGAAUAGAAAGCCACGGCUAACUACGUG